Molecule: ribosomal RNA, 371 nt
Filed under: uncultured organism
Description: partial 16S ribosomal RNA
Rfam family: Bacterial small subunit ribosomal RNA
Source: RNAcentral
GUAGGGUGCAAGCGUUAAUCGGAAUUACUGGGCGUAAAGCGUGCGCAGGCGGUUAUGCAAGACAGAGGUGAAAUCCCCGGGCUCAACCUGGGAACUGCCUUUGUGACUGCAUGGCUAGAGUACGGUAGAGGGGGAUGGAAUUCCGCGUGUAGCAGUGAAAUGCGUAGAUAUGCGGAGGAACACCGAUGGCGAAGGCAAUCCCCUGGACCUGUACUGACGCUCAUGCACGAAAGCGUGGGGGGAGCAAACAGGAUUAGAUACCCUGGUAGUCCACGCCCCUAAACGAUGUCAACUGGUUGUUGGGAGGGUUUCUUCUCAGUAACGUAGCUAACGCGUGAAGUUGACCGCCUGGGAGUACGGCCGCAAGGUUG